UGCACUCCAGCCUGGGCAACAGAGUGAGCCUCUGUCUCAAAAAAAAAAAAAAAAAAAAAAAAGUACUGGGAGGAUCCUGCAGGUGUUGAAGGGUGUAUUCACUUCCUGUUUCUGCUGUAGCAAAAUAUCACACGUUUGAUAUUCUCUUACAGAUCUGGAGGUGCUAAAGUUCAGCAGUCUGAAAUGUAUUGGCAGGCAGGUUCUUUCUGCAGGCUCUGGGGAAGAACCUAUUUCCCUGCCUUCUUCACCUCCUAGAGGCCACCUGCAUUCCCAUGUGGCAGUGGGGAAUGAAAACAGGAAAGUGGCAGCUCUGACCGAAAGCAAUGUGAUUGAUAAAGAGGGUGGGCAGUGGGGGGACAUUUCCUCAAAAGAAAGGAUUGCUAUUCACCGAAGAGGGAGUGAAGUCCUGGGAAGGCAAGAUAACAGGUGUGCACUCAGCUGUGAUAGAGAGGCCGACCAGGCACGCUGUUUGCAGCAAAAUGGGCGUUAUGCUUUGCCCCUGGAGGCGUGGAAGUGGGGCAAGAGGGUAGAGAAAAAGUUGUUCCAGCCACUACGGAUGUGUAACAAGUUACUGCAAAUCUUGUUGACUUAAAAUAGCCACUUGGUUUGCUCAUGAUUUUGUGGGCCAGGAAUUUAGACAGGACUGAGCCUGGCAGGUCUCACUCAGUGUUUCCCUAGCAGCUGCUCAGAUGUCAUCUGAAGGCCCCACAGGGCUGGACGUCCAAGAUGGCUCACUCACAUGGCUGGCAUGGGUUGUGUCCAGGUAGCUCAGCUGGGGCUGCCAACCCAGGGCUCUGCAUGGCUUCUCCAGCAUGGCGGGGUCUCAGAGUAGCUGGACUUCUUAUGUGGUAGCUGGCUUCCCCCUCCCACUGAGUGGGAAUCUUAAGAGGACGAACUGGAAACUUCAUAAUUUUUUUUUUCUUUGAGAUGGAGUCUCACUCUGUUGCCCAGGCUGGAGUGCAGUGGCCUGAUCUCGGCUCACUGAAACCUCCACCCCUGGGUUCAAGCGAUUCCCCUGCCUCAGCCUCCCGAGUAGCUGGGAUUACAGGUGCCCGCCACAGCGCCCGGCUAAUUUUUGUAUUUUUAGUAGAGACAGUGUUUCACCAUCUUGGCUGUUACACGCCUCCGUAUAAGAGACCACCUGAGCAGGCUUAGUGGAGCAACAAGGCUGUUUAUUCACUUGGGUGCAAGUGGGCUGAGUCAGAGAAAGGAGUCAGCGAAGGGUGGUGGGAGUGGAACUGGUUCUAUAGGUUUGGGGUAGGUAGUGGAAAGUUACAGUUAGGGGCAGUUUUUUUGGGCAGGGGAAGAAUGUUACAAGGUGCAUAGUCACAAGGUGGGGGAAGUCAUAAGGCACGAUAUCACAAGGUGGAUGGAUUAGUUGGGGAAGGGCAGGAACAUAUCACAAGGUGGAUGGAUUAAUUAGGGUAGGGAAGGAACAUAUCACAAGGUGGAUGGAUUAGUUAGGGUAGGGAAGGAACAUAUCACAAGGUGGAUGGAUUAGUUAGGGUAGGGCAGGAACAUGUCACAGUGGUGGAUGGAUUAGUUAGGGUAGGGCAGGAACAUGUCACAAGGUGGAUGGAUUAGUUAGGGUAGGGCAGGAACAUGUCACAAGGUGGAUGGAUUAGUUGGGGAAGGGCAGGAACAAUCACAAGGUGGAUGGAUUAGUUGGGGAAGGGCAGGAACAUAUCACAAGGUGGAUGGAUUAGUUGGGGAAGGGCAGGAACAUGUCACAAUGGUGGAUGGAUUAGUUGGGGAAGGGCAGGAACAUGUCACAAUGGUGGAUGGAUUAGUUGGGGAAGGGCAGGAACAUAUCACAAGGUGGAUGGAUUAGUUAGGGUAGGGCAGGAACAUGUCACAGUGGUGGAUGGAUUAGUUGAGGAAGGGCAGGAACAUGCCACAAGGUGGAUGGAUUAGUUGGGGAAGGGCAGGAACAUAUCACAAGGUGGAUGGAUUAGUUAGGGUAGGGCAGGAACAUGUCACAGUGGUGGAUGGAUUAGUUGAGGAAGGGCAGGAACAUGCCACAAGGUGGAUGGAUUAGUUGGGGAAGGGCAGGAACAUAUCACAAGGUGGAUGGAUUAGUUAGGGUAGGGAAGGAACAUAUCACAAGGUGGAUGGAUUAGUUGGGGAAGGGCAGGAACAUAUCACAGUGGUGGAUGGAUUAGUUGGGGAAGGGCAGGAACAUAUCACAAGGUGGAUGGAUUAGUUGGGGAAGGGCAGGAACAUAUCACAGUGGUGGAUGGAUUAGUUGGGGAAGGGCAGGAACAUAUCACAAGGUGGAUGGAUUAGUUGGGGAAGGGCAGGAACAUGUCACAAUGGUGGAUGGAUUAGUUGGGGAAGGGCAGGAACAUGUCACAAUGGUGGAUGGAUUAGUUGGGGAAGGGCAGGAACAUAUCACAAGGUGGAUGGAUUAGUUGGGGAAGGGCAGGAACAUAUCACAAGGUGGAUGGAUUAGUUGGGGAAGGGCAGGAACAUAUCACAAGGUGGACUGUUGCAAGGUCGGUUAAUCAUUAAGGCAGGAACUAGCUGUUCCGUCUUCUUUAGUGGUUCUCCUGUUGCUCCAGGCUUUGUGACUCCAGGAGGCCUGUAACGUGUGGGUCACAGGGGUCACAAUGGCUCGACCAUGGGGUAGCCCAUUCAGGGGACCUUCCACUGGCCAGGUUGGUCUUGAACUCGUGACCUCAUGAUCCACCCGCCUCGGCCUCCCAAAGUGCUGGAAUUACAGGCGUGAGCCACCGCGUCCCGCCCAAAGCUGCAUAAUUUUUUAUCCUCAAAAGUUAAGCAGCUUUCCUUCCCCUACAGUCAGUGUUAUAAGUGAGUCACUAACGUCAGCCCACUUUUGAGUAGAGGGGACAUAGAUUCCCACAGCUCAAUGGGAGGAGUGUCAAAAAAAUGUAUGAGCAUAUUUUAAAACCAUUGCAAAGUAUGUCAUGGGGAGAGUGUCCAGAGGAGAGAUGACUGAGUUGGGUUAAAUUGCCAGGCCAGGCACAGUGGCUCAUGUCUGUAAUCCCAGCAUUUCGGGAGGCCGAGGCGGUAAAAUCUCUUGAGGCCAGGAGUUUGAGACCAGCUUGGGAAACAUAGCGAGACCCCCAUCUCUACAAAAAAUUUAAAAAUUAGCCAGGUGUGGUGGUGCAUGCCUAUGGUCCCAGCUACUUGGGAGGCUUAGGUGAGAGGAUCGCUUGAGCCCAGGAGUUCGAGGCUGCGUUGGGCCACGACUGCACCACUGCACUCCAGCCUGAGUGACAGGGUGAGACCGUCUCAAAAAUAAAUGAAUAAAUAAAUAAAUUGCCAGGCCACAGAAAAUGCUUAAGUAUUACAACUGGUAAAUCAUAAGAGUUAUGGUUGAUGUGGCUCCCAGUCAGUUGAGUGGUAAUGGGGCUGGUGGACUCAUGUUUGGGAACGAAGAAGAGAGAAGGUUCAAGAGUGAGAACUGAAAUCACUGCUGUCUCUCCAUCCCUGUCCCAGGGGAAAAUCCAUUGCCCAGCCAUUACCAGCUCCUUGAGACUGCCUGCAUUUCUUGGCUCGAGACCCCUUCUUCGGAUCUCCCCAGUCUCUUGCCUCUGCCAGCACAUCCCCUGCCACUGACCCUGACUCUCCUGUAUCCCUCUCAGAAGGAUCUUGUGAUUACAUGGGGUCCAUGUCGAUAAUCCUGCAUGACUUCCCCACUUCAAAAUCCUUAGUCAUAUCUGCAAAAUCCCUUUCACCAUCUAAAAUAACAUACUCAUGGGUUCUGGGGUUUAGGGGCCCAAUGCUCCUAGUACCUUUCAUGGGAAUCUUUACCUCCAGAAAUGGGGAGAAGUGGGCAGGGACUCCCUUCAUACACAAGACACGGCUGCCUCCUGCCACAACCCCAAAUACUUAUACACUUGCCUUUUUACAUCUGAGCUGGAACGACCCCACCUCAAUGUCAUGGGGCCAGGGUGGGAGACAGAGGAGCUACAACAUCUGCUUGGCUAUUGUUAGGGACAAACAAAGCAGCCACGGUUGCUUAGUGAUGACUUCUGGUUCCACCUGAGUGCUUUGGCCACCCAUAUUGCUCUCAGAGCUCUUUAAAGAUGAGUUAUUGUGCCCGGAGUGGUGGCUGAUGCCUGUAAUCCCAGGACUUUGGGAGGCUGAAGUGGACAGAUCACCUGAUGUUAGGAGUUCAAGACCAGCCACCUAACCAACAUGGAGAAACCCCAUCUCUACUAAAAGUACGAAAUUAGCAGGGCAUGGUGGCGCAUGCCUGUAAUCCCAGCUACUCUGGAGGCUGAG
RNAcentral lists this long non-coding RNA (4251 nucleotides) under Homo sapiens (human). RNAcentral describes it as "HSALNT0388209". Lineage: Eukaryota; Metazoa; Chordata; Mammalia; Primates; Hominidae. The record is from RNAcentral.